Amphibalanus amphitrite is the source of this 1615-nucleotide long non-coding RNA. RefSeq lists it as uncharacterized. The transcript is spliced from 2 exons. NCBI's taxonomy places the organism in Eukaryota, Metazoa, Arthropoda, Thecostraca, Balanomorpha, Balanidae. The record is from RefSeq and is a predicted model, not a curated record.
UUCGGAAUCAGCGCAUCGAGGAGGCUCUGGAUACCGAUUUUCAGCCAAAUUGAAAGACCCCGAAAUAUGCUGCUGUGAGGCUGAUAUUCGUUGCUGCUGAUUUGACAGACGUCGCCAAAACCUUGCAUUUGUAUCAAAUGCGUCAUGCUGGCUUACAUGUGACUUAGUUUGCAUCGUUUGCAUUCUGUUCGCGAACCUGUCAGUAAGAUUAUCAGCACUAAUUAUCGCACAGGAUUGGUUUUUACUUUUUAUGGUCUUCUUCUUCUUCGUGGAUUAGGGCGCGUAGCCGUCAGGACUUUUUAUGGUCGUCAACGUUGAUUUCAAGUGUCGUCAUUUUAGCCAAAUAUUCGUGCUGAUUGGUGGUAUUGUGCCAACUGACAAAAUUGCGAACAGAGUGAUAUUUCACUUAAGAAAUGUAUUUGAUAUUAUGAUUAUGGCGAUUGAAUGCUACAUAGGGUGGAGGCUUAGGUUAUGUUAAUUUAUUUCUGAAGCUUGCUGUUUUGUGUCAAAUUUUUCAUCUAUGCUUAUCUCUUUGAUAAGCACAGCCCACAGAGCGGACACAGAGCUGAUGUCUCCAGUUCACUAUCGGUGCACGAUCGGCGGCGGCGAUCGCGUGGUUCGCGCGCGGCGGCCCGGUGAGCCGCCGUCGAACGGCCGUCAUCUGCAUGGUCCGUGCACGAGCGACGCAGCACGCCGACCCCCGGAGCGCACCAAAUGAAGAUCGAGCCCGCGUGAUCAACGCUGACGGCUGCAAUCUAUUGCCAUGACAACUGAGCAGAAAUACAGCGUCGCCAAUGAAGACGUCCCCGCGUACCCGAUCGGUGCCGCGACGCUGCGGAGGCGGUGUGGGCGAGGGCCGGCCGGUGCGACACAAUCCCGCUCCGAUCCUGACGGACUGCACUGAAACGCUCGUUAGCCGCGCGGCUAAACCCGCAGCCGGCACAAAUCGCCGUAAAGCUGCCAGAGGCGCCGCGGAAAUAAUGACACGCGCCGAGUUAUGCGCCGGAGCAGCGCCGCCAAGAGCUCGACCACGAGGGCUUUUGUCGGCAUAAAUAUCGAAAGUUCGCCUGCACGGCCGUGGGGCUGGGGAGUUAUCGGUCGGCGGGCGCGAGGGAGGGAGACUCUCCGGCGGUAGUGGGGGUAAAGGAUCAGGUGGCGCCGGCUGGGUCAGGUGGAGGAAGCGGCAGUGGGAGACCAGGUGGAAAAUAGAUAACAACAUUCUGGGGAGGAUCUCAUGGGACUGUGUUACACUUCAGUCAGUCCAUCUAUUGCCUCCAUCCGCCAAACUUCUCACUGUCCGUGGCUGAGACUGCCGUACAUAUGCGACACGAUCCCACAGGUGCCACACGGGACGUCUGCCGUGCAGGUGACUGCACUCGCCAGUGCUCCAACCACGGAAACCCACUAUCAAGUCACGGUUACUAUUUCCACGGUCGAACGAGUUUCCCUUCAGCCGCGAGUUGAAACUCUCGAGCACUUGCCAAACCUCAUGGGUAAUCCAUAAACAUUUGGUCGAUGGAUGGACGAUGAAAGGAAAAACCACUUUCACGUGUGUGCAAACCACAAAAGGAAUGCAUGAAUGCAUAAAAUCUAUCAAUAAAAUGAUAGCGAUAAA